Molecule: ribosomal RNA, 1345 nt
Filed under: Loxocephala sp. 1 NS-2013
Lineage: Eukaryota; Metazoa; Arthropoda; Insecta; Hemiptera; Eurybrachidae
Description: SSU rRNA
Rfam family: Eukaryotic small subunit ribosomal RNA
Source: RNAcentral
ACAUAGUGCGCAAUUACCUAAUCCCUGCACGGGGAGGUAAAGAUAAAGAGGUCUACAGAGGAAUCAUCCGAGGCCCCGUAAUCGGAAUGAGUAUACUCUAAAUCCUUAUACGAGUAUCAAUUGGAGGGCAAGUCUGGUGCCAGCAGCCGCGGUAAUUCCAGCUCCAAUAGCGUAUAUUAAAGUUGUUGCGGUUAAAAAGCUCGUAGUUGGAUCUGUGUCCCGCACCGUCGGUUCACCGCCUGUCGGUGUUCAACUGGCGUGCAUGCGGGACGUCCUGCCGGUGGCGGUCCGGGGCUACGUCGGUGCUUAGGGGGCGACCCUGCUUGCAGGCGCCGUUCCCGAAGCCGCGGCGCUUCCGGCCGCCUUUUCCAUCCCGUCGCGGUGCUCUUUACCGAGUGUCGAGGCGGGCCGGCACGUUUACUUUGAACAAAUUAGAGUGCUUUAAGCAGGCCCUGUCCCGCCUGUAUGUUGUGUGCAUGGAAUAAUGGAAUAGGACCUCGGUUCUAUUUUGUUGGUUUUCGGAAUCUGAGGUAAUGAUCAAUGGGGACAGGCGGGGGCAUUCGUAUUGCGACGUUAGAGGUGAAAUUCUUGGAUCGUCGCAAGACGGACCGAAGCGAAAGCAUUUGCCAAGUAUGUUCUCGUCGAUCAAGAACGAAAGUUAGAGGUUCGAAGGCGAUCAGAUACCGCCCUAGUUCUAACCAUAAACUAUGCCUGCCAGCGAUCCGCCGAAGUUCCUCCGAUGACUCGGCGGGCAGCUUCCGGGAAACCAGAGCUUUUGGGUUCCGGGGGAAGUAUGGUUGCAAAGCUGAAACUUAAAGGAAUUGACGGAAGGGCACCACCAGGAGUGGAGCCUGCGGCUUAAUUUGACUCAACACGGGAAAACUCACCAGGCCCGGACACCGGAAGGAUUGACAGAUUGAGAGCUCUUUCUUGAUUCGGUGGGUGGUGGUGCAUGGCCGUUCUUAGUUGGUGGAGCGAUUUGUCUGGUUAAUUCCGAUAACGAACGAGACUCUAGCCUACUAAAUAGGCGUACCCGGUAUCCACAAUCGUGCUACCGGCGAUCAAAUUUCUUCUUAGAGGGACAGGCGGCUUCUAGCCGCACGAGACUGAGCAAUAACAGGUCUGUGAUGCCCUUAGAUGUCCUGGGCCGCACGCGCGCUACACUGAAGGAAUCAGCGUGUCUUCCCUGUCCGAAAGGACCGGGUAACCCGCUGAACCUCCUUUGUGCUAGGGAUUGGGGCUUGCAAUUGUUCCCCAUGAACGAGGAAUUCCCAGUAAGCGUGGAGAAAAGCUUACCACGUUCACAUCCCUGCCCAAAUAUCACACAGUACUCUAUAACGCUUGU